AAAGGAUUCGGUUCACUUAAAAGAGCCAGUGCUUUCCGUCACUGAAGGAAGUGAAGUGCGCGGUGAAAAAGCAUCAUAAUGGACGCUACAGUGGCAUGUAAUAAUUGUGGCUUACCGUACACGUUGUCUGAGGGUGAGGUUGUGGGGAGGCUGCCCCAUGUGCUCGUCUGUGUGGAGUGUCUCUGCUCUCUGGAGUGUCCUCAGGACUCCAACUCUGUCCCCUCAGUCAGCUGUCCCGAGUGUAGGACAGCGAUAAAGAGGGCAGGACCUGGUCAGACCUCCAGUCAGACGUGGAAGUGUCUGGGUAAAGACCACCAAGGUGUAAAACAUGCAGAUAUUUGUUCAGCACAUCGCUAUUGCUAUUCCUUGAUGCUUUGAGAGCAUAUUCAAAGUUGUAUUUUUCAUGAAACAUUGUAGAAUUUGGCAAUAUAGUCAAUAUUUUACACUCUUACACAGAGUCUGCAGAACUGGCAGCCGAUGGACGAUAUGCCGUGUGAGCGUAUUCUUCUGCUUUCUGAUUAACUUUCUUUGCCAUGCUGAGGGAGGUGUUGACUAAAUUAGAGAUGGUGCUGGACCAACAAACCACUGAGAUUGCUUCAACUACAGGAGGUCCAGCUGCAGCCUUUGGAUGUUGAUGAAGAUUUACUGCCCUGCAAGACCUUCCUCAACUGCGUAGUCUGGAGCGAAGGAUGCAACAGAGCCCAGAUUACAAGCAAGAUCUGUUCAUAGAAACCUCUUUACGCCUAAAGCUGCAGCGAUGGAGGUCGAGGGGACCAUGAAGAGGUGGCUCCAGCUGGCAUCAGAUCAAGAGUGUGGGUGCAAGAGAAGUCUUUUGCAAAAAGAAGCUACCAGGAAUCCUGAAGAAGGACUAGCGCAUUGGAGCGGUCGUGCUGCACGUGGGGGCAAACAUCAGGCUGUGGCAGGCGGAGGUUCUGAAGAGGGACUUCUCCAGCCUGAUCGAGACGGUACGAGGCAGAUCACCCACCGCGAAGAUCAUCGUCUCUGGACCUCUUCCCUCAUACAGAGGUGGAGCAGAAAGGCUCAGUAGACUUCUUGCUUUGAAUGACUGGUUAGUUUCUUGGUGUAAUGAACAGAAUCUGCUGUUUGUUAAUAACUGGAAUCUGUUCUGGGAUCGGAACUGCUGUCAGACAACAUUUCCAAGACGCUACAGACCAAGUGACUGUCUACCCGUGCUUACUUGAAGACGAUGAGGCAGAGCAGCAUCGGAGAGACAGUUCGCUCCAUUCUCCAAAGAAUCGGGGAGAACAGUCUGUAAUGUAUGUUUUUGUUGAAAGUGUCAAAAGGUGGGAAGCUGGCUUUGACUUAUCAGGAUGAAGUGUAUCGCCUUGUACACUAUAUUGCCGAACAAGCACAUGGACGUGAAUAUACUGUUGCCGGUUGCAGAGAGGCCAUCGGCAGCUACCUAAAAAAUGCCCCAGGCAGGAAAAGUGGCAAGAAACAUAUUAUGAGUGUUUAUGAUGAAGCAGAGCUACGUGGGAUCUCCAGUGCGUCCUGCAAGAAUUGGGCCUGAGUCCAGUUCAGAUUCAAUUUUGUAAUCUCAUUCCUCUCCCUUGCGUGACAGCCUCCAAACAGUACAAUUCUAAUGAGCUUGAAUAUACGGGGAAUUCCAUUGGGUUUGAUGUCUGACUAAUUAAAGACCCACCUCUUCUAUGAACACCUAACCAACUCAUAAUAAAAAAAAAAUAUUUAAAAAAAAAAAUGCACUUACACCUCUAGUCUGCACUUUGCUUCUUCUAGAAUUCAAUGAAUAGAUCUUGUAUGGUAGCUGCUCUUGUAUUGUUCUCUGCUUGAUAUAUCGCUUUGCUUGUAUCUUUCUUAUUUGUAAGUCGCUUUGGAUAAAAGCGUCUGCUAAGUGAAUGUAAUGUAAAUGUAAUAAAUUGUUUUCUUUGAUUAGCAAUACAUAGGUACUAUAUCUGGCUGUUUUGUGUGUUACAAUAUUGAAUGUCAUUUUUCAGCUAUUCACUUUGUCUGCAUUUACUAAAAUUCAUGCAUGUUUAUUAAAAAUAUUCACGGAGUUUGUUAAACUAUAUAAUUGUUGUCUAUCAUUCAUAAGAUUCGUCAUGGGAAUUCCAUAGACCAGAAUCUAACAUCCACAUUAUUGAAGCAUUGUUUAAUUACGGAUUUUUUUAAGCAUGCGGUAUGUUAUAUGCUUUAAUUGUAU
Ictalurus punctatus (channel catfish) is the source of this 2182-nucleotide long non-coding RNA. RefSeq lists it as uncharacterized. The transcript is spliced from 9 exons. The record is from RefSeq and is a predicted model, not a curated record. Lineage: Eukaryota; Metazoa; Chordata; Actinopteri; Siluriformes; Ictaluridae.